Molecule: ribosomal RNA, 253 nt
Filed under: uncultured bacterium
Lineage: Bacteria
Description: partial 16S ribosomal RNA
Rfam family: Bacterial small subunit ribosomal RNA
Source: RNAcentral
UACGGAGGAUCCAAGCGUUAUCCGGAUUUAUUGGGUUUAAAGGGUGCGUAGGCGGAUUGAUAAGUUAGAGGUGAAAUGUCCGAGCUCAACUCGGGAACUGCCUCUAAUACUGUUGAUCUAGAGAGUAGAUGCGGUAGGCGGAAUGUAUGGUGUAGCGGUGAAAUGCUUAGAGAUCAUACAGAACACCGAUUGCGAAGGCAGCUUACCAAUCUAUAUCUGACGUUGAGGCACGAAAGCGUGGGGAGCAAACAGG